Molecule: ribosomal RNA, 257 nt
Filed under: uncultured Staphylococcus sp.
Lineage: Bacteria; Bacillati; Bacillota; Bacilli; Caryophanales; Staphylococcaceae
Description: partial 16S ribosomal RNA
Rfam family: Bacterial small subunit ribosomal RNA
Source: RNAcentral
UACGUAGGUGGCAAGCGUUAUCCGGAAUUAUUGGGCGUAAAGCGCGCGUAGGCGGUUUUUUAAGUCUGAUGUGAAAGCCCACGGCUCAACCGUGGAGGGUCAUUGGAAACUGGAAAACUUGAGUGCAGAAGAGGAAAGUGGAAUUCCAUGUGUAGCGGUGAAAUGCGCAGAGAUAUGGAGGAACACCAGUGGCGAAGGCGACUUUCUGGUCUGUAACUGACGCUGAUGUGCGAAAGCGUGGGGAUCAAACAGGAUUA